This is a long non-coding RNA of Equus asinus (donkey), 1116 nucleotides long. The record is from Ensembl. Lineage: Eukaryota; Metazoa; Chordata; Mammalia; Perissodactyla; Equidae.
UGUGGCCCUUAGCUCACUGGUGCCCCCUAAAGCCCUGGCGGGAGGGAAGAGGGUAUUAGUAUACUUGUCCUCAUUUUACCCAAACUCAUCGCCUCAUUCCCUUUCCACAAUCCUAGAGGUCCUCCCAGGGGUAUCUCUGUGAUUCCAGAUAAUGGGGUGCAUAGCGUGAGGUCCCUCUGGUUGUGGUAUGUGGGAUGCCGCCUCAACAUGGCCUGAUGAGCAGUGCCACGUCUGCGUGCCCAGGAUCCGAACCUGCGAAACCCUCGGCUGCUGAAGUGGAGCGCGUGAACUUAACCACUCAGCCACGGGGCUGGCUCCUAGGACAUCUCAUAUUGGACUAGCCCUAUUUCCAGCACUCAGUGGACACACAUAGCUGGACAGUGCAGUAUUGUGCUGGGUGUCAAGGAGAGAACAGGGAACAGGAUGGGCAAGGUGUCUGCCUUCACUGAGUUGACAGUCUGGUGUGGGAAACAUGUAAUAAAGAGGUAAAUAAUUUUGGAGAGUGUUAUUGAGAAAAUAAUACAUCGGUAUUUGAGGGAUUGGGAAGCUGACUUAGAUGGCCUGGGGAGUUAGGAAAGCCUCUCUGAGGCUGAGACCCAGAUAGGAGGCAUUAACCAUCAAUUAUCUAUUGCCACAAUAAUGCUGUAUACACUAAACCAUUCCACAAGUCAGAAGCUGAACAUAGUAACUAGUUAUUAUUGUUCAUGAGUCUACAAGUUAGCUGGGCGGUUCUUCUGGUUGCAGGUGGGCUCCUGCAUCUGUGGGCGGCUGCAGGUCAGGCAGGUGGCUGUGCUGAUCCUGGCUGGGCUUGCAUGUUUGGGGUCUGCUGGCUGUUGAGUGGUGUAGGAUGACCUCAGCCCUUUUCCAUGUGGCUUCUCAUCUUCCAGCAGGCUAGCCCAGGCCUGUUCUCACAGUGGAGGCAGGGAUCCCAGAGAGACCGUGGAAGCCUUCAAGGUUUCUUAAGGCUCAGGUUCAGGACUAUAUCACUGGAGGCUGGCCUGGUUGCACAGUGGUUAGGUUUGCACAUUCUGCUUCGGUGGCCCCGGGGUUUGCCAGUUCGGACCCCAGGUGUGGACCUACUCACUGCUUGGCAAGCCAUGCUGUGGCAGGCGUCCU